RNAcentral lists this unclassified non-coding RNA (20 nucleotides) under Mus musculus (house mouse). RNAcentral describes it as "oocyte_clustered_small_RNA2379". The record is from RNAcentral. Lineage: Eukaryota; Metazoa; Chordata; Mammalia; Rodentia; Muridae.
CAGAGCUAGCAGCAGCCGGU